AGUGAACGCUGGCGGUAGGCCUAACACAUGCAAGUCGAACGGCAGCACAGAGGAGCUUGCUCCUUGGGUGGCGAGUGGCGGACGGGUGGGGAAUACAUCGGAAUCUACUCUGUCGUGGGGGAUAACGUAGGGAAACUUACGCUAAUACCGCAUACGACCUACGGGUGAAAGCAGGGGACCUUCGGGCCCUGCGCGAUUGAAUGAGCCGAUGUCGGAUUAGCUAGUUGGCGGGGUAAAGGCCCACCAAGGCGACGAUCCGUAGCUGGUCUGAGAGGAUGAUCAGCCACACUGGAACUGAGACACGGUCCAGACUCCUACGGGAGGCAGCAAUGGGGAAUAUUGGACAAUGGGCGCAAGCCUGAUCCAGCCAUACCGCGUGGGUGAAGAAGGCCUUCGGGUUGUAAAGCCCUUUUGUUGGGAAAGAAAUCCAGCUGGCUAAUACCCGGUUGGGAUGACGGUACCCAAAGAAUAAGCACCGGCUAACUUCGUGCCAGCCGCCGCUGUAA
RNAcentral lists this ribosomal RNA (506 nucleotides) under uncultured bacterium. RNAcentral's name for it is "partial 16S ribosomal RNA". It matches the Rfam family "Bacterial small subunit ribosomal RNA", at positions 29 to 523 of the family's 1533-position model. The record is from RNAcentral.